UACUCCUACGGGAGGCAGCAGUAGGGAAUCUUCCACAAUGGACGCAAGUCUGAUGGAGCAACGCCGCGUGAGUGAAGAAGGCUUUCGGGUCGUAAAACUCUGUUGUUGGAGAAGAAUGGUCGGCAGAGUAACUGUUGUCGGCGUGACGGUAUCCAAC
This 157-nucleotide ribosomal RNA is filed under the name bacterium enrichment culture DGGE gel band 15. RNAcentral's name for it is "partial 16S ribosomal RNA". It matches the Rfam family "Bacterial small subunit ribosomal RNA", at positions 334 to 483 of the family's 1533-position model. The record is from RNAcentral.